CGACGUUCGUUCCUCUGAAAAAUCACGGGGAAAAGGACCAGGAAGAAUUGCGCGUGAGGUAUAAAGAUAUGUCCAACAUCUUUAUUAAUAACGUCGGUCGUCGGCUCGGACAGCAACGACGGGAUUACACGGUAACAGUGUGUCGCUGUUCCAUUCACUCCUCGUUCCGUUUAAACACGUGCAUAUUCAUAUUGUCCUCGACUUCGUACUGGCUGGCUGCUUCUGGAUGGACGCUGUAUUAUUGUGUACGAUUAAAACUCAUCGAUGCAACAACUAAGGUUUGCUGCAUCUUCCAAAGGUUAUCAUACAAUCAUCGAAGAUCAUUGCAAUCCUAAUGGAAGAUCCGAAGGAUUCAAAUCUCACGUAUACCGACGAUCGGCAACGCAGAUGCACAGGUUACUCGCUGUCGACAAGGUGACGCAGGGCGCGAAAACGAUGGCGCGUCAGGAUCGGACCAUGGGGCGGUCCCCUGAUUGGCCGCCUCGGCUUGUACACAGAGCCGGCACGGUGGGAGGCCGGCGACGUAUCUCGUGCUCGUGGUCAUUCGCAGUUGGCGCGUCGCGGAGUGCGGUAGUGAUGCGCGAGGGCCAGGCGCUUCAUCCACGAGUCGCGUGCCGUGUCCGAUGAGAGUGAUAAAACGCGCGUGCGAUCAAAAUGUGACCGCGUGUCGCCGGACGAUCCACGUCGCGCGCUGGUGAAGACGAUCGACAAAUUGCUCCGUCGUGCUGCGGAGAAUGAACUUGACCCGGUGCACGAGAGUGCCGGUGACCGCGAUACACUUCCGGAGAACAUGAGAGUUUGCUGGACGCGUCAGGUUUGACCAAAGAUGGAGAACCAAGGAUUCGAGGAGGAGCAGCAGCAGCAGCCAGGCAUCCAAUCGCAGUCCUUCCCGAGGAUC
This is a non-coding RNA of Nomia melanderi (Alkali bee), 898 nucleotides long. The record is from RefSeq and is a predicted model, not a curated record. NCBI's taxonomy places the organism in Eukaryota, Metazoa, Arthropoda, Insecta, Hymenoptera, Halictidae.